This 370-nucleotide ribosomal RNA is filed under the name Enterococcus faecalis. RNAcentral's name for it is "bacterial SSU rRNA". It matches the Rfam family "Bacterial small subunit ribosomal RNA", at positions 1150 to 1518 of the family's 1533-position model. Lineage: Bacteria; Bacillati; Bacillota; Bacilli; Lactobacillales; Enterococcaceae. The record is from RNAcentral.
UGCCGGUGACAAACCGGAGGAAGGUGGGGAUGACGUCAAAUCAUCAUGCCCCUUAUGACCUGGGCUACACACGUGCUACAAUGGGAAGUACAACGAGUCGCUAGACCGCGAGGUCAUGCAAAUCUCUUAAAGCUUCUCUCAGUUCGGAUUGCAGGCUGCAACUCGCCUGCAUGAAGCCGGAAUCGCUAGUAAUCGCGGAUCAGCACGCCGCGGUGAAUACGUUCCCGGGCCUUGUACACACCGCCCGUCACACCACGAGAGUUUGUAACACCCGAAGUCGGUGAGGUAACCUUUUUGGAGCCAGCCGCCUAAGGUGGGAUAGAUGAUUGGGGUGAAGUCGUAACAAGGUAGCCGUAUCGGAAGGUGCGGC